AAAACUUUUCGCUAAUAGAAGAGCCUAUGUAGGAUUAGGUAGUUGGUAUUUUGGGUAAAAGCCUACCAAGCCUAAGAUCCUUAGCUGUUCUGAGAGGUUGAACAGCCACACUGGGACUGAGACAAGGCCCAGGCUCCAUUUGGAGCCAGCAGUGAGGAAUUUUGGACAAUGAGCGAAAGCUUGAUCCAGCAAUACUACAUGAGUGAAGAAGGCUUUCAAGUUGUAACACUCUUUGGUUGAGGAGGAUAAUGACAGUACUCAACAAAAUAGCCCCGGCUAACUUCGUGCCAGCAGCCGCGGUAAGACGAAGGGGGCGAGCGUUAUCCGGAAUGACUGGGCGUAAAGGGUCCGUAGGCAGCAUUUUUUGUUGGAAGUUAAAUAAAAAAGCUUAACUUUUUUCCGCUUCUAAAACGUAAAUGCUUUGAGUUUGAUAGAAGAUAGCAGAAUUUCACAAGGAGGGGUGAUAUCCAGAGAUCUGUGAAGGAAUAUCAGAUGCGAAGGCGGCUAUCUAGAUCAACACUGACGUUGAGGGACGAAAGCAUGGGGAGCAAACAGGAUUAGAUACCCUGGUAGUCCAUGCCCUAAAAGAUGAGUGUUCGUGCUUAGAGAACUUUAGGCACUUAGUUAACCACGUUAAACACUCCGCCUGGGGAGUACGAUCGCAAGGUUGGAACUCAAAGGAAUUGACGGGGGCCUAUACAAGUGGUGGAGCAUGUGGUUUAAUGCGAUAAUACGCGCGAAACCUUACCAGUUCUUGACAUAAAAAAGAAAAAGUUUGAAAAAGCAAUUUUAAAGAUUUUUACAGGUGCUGCAUGGCUGUCGUAAGCUCGUGUCGUGAGAUGUUAGGUUAACUCCUUUUAACGGGCGAAACCCCUUUUUUUCGUUGCUACUUAAUUUUAUUUUUAAAGCACUCUAAAAAAACUGCUCCCUUUUUUUAAUUCGGAGAGGAAGGUGGGGAUGACGUCAAGUCCUUAUGGCCCUUAUGAACUGGGCUACACACGUGCUACAAUGGUAAAGACAAUAAGAAGUGAUAGGGUUACCUAAAACCAAUCUUUAAACUUUAUCAAAGUUCGGAUUGUGGACUGCAACUCGUCCAUAUGAAGGUGGAAUCACUAGUAAUCGCACAUCAGCAUGUUGCGGUGAAUUUGUACCUAGGCCUUGUACACACCGCCCGUCACGUGCCGGGAGUUGGCUU
This 1195-nucleotide ribosomal RNA is filed under the name uncultured organism. Its description in RNAcentral is "bacterial SSU rRNA". It matches the Rfam family "Bacterial small subunit ribosomal RNA", at positions 207 to 1417 of the family's 1533-position model. The record is from RNAcentral.